CGCUACCAAGUCAAUUACUCUUCUAUUUACAAGUGUGGAGUGCCAAUGUGUGCAAGCAUGCUCUUAUAUUGAGACAAGACAAAAACUACUACUCCCACAGAAUCCCCAUCAAGAAUCGUAAAAGUUUAAAACUAACACCCCGUCACUCAAGUCCAACUAAAAGCCAAGGUCCCAAAGAAUGUCCACACCCUUCUAUUUUAUUCACUAUAUUUUUUUUUCUUUUUAUUGGUGAUUAAUUGCUCGGUCUAAGGUCAGAGCGCUUCGCAGUGUAAAUGCGUUACGAACACCACAAGACUUCACACACCAAUUAUUCACUCUAUUAUAGUGGUUUAUUUAACCGUGCAAUGGUUGAGAUCCCUAAAGAUUUAUGCACUAGUACCCAUGUAGCGAGCGUUGGGUCAACAAUCCCAAACCACAAAGGCUUUAGGUUGUUAGGCACAAAGUCCCCUCAGACUUAAUUACUCGAGUACUAAUGAGCUCAACCUAGUUAAUUC
This 494-nucleotide long non-coding RNA is filed under the name Daucus carota (carrot). RNAcentral's name for it is "long non-coding RNA (DCAR_LNC007093)". The record is from RNAcentral. Lineage: Eukaryota; Viridiplantae; Streptophyta; Magnoliopsida; Apiales; Apiaceae.